RNAcentral lists this unclassified non-coding RNA (345 nucleotides) under uncultured fungus. RNAcentral's name for it is "partial contains small subunit ribosomal RNA, internal transcribed spacer 1, and 5.8S ribosomal RNA". The stretch from base 1 to 73 matches the Rfam family "Eukaryotic small subunit ribosomal RNA", at positions 1759 to 1831 of the family's 1831-position model. Lineage: Eukaryota; Fungi. The record is from RNAcentral.
GCAAACUUGGUCAUUUAGAGGAAGUAAAAGUCGUAACAAGGUUUCCGUAGGUGAACCUGCGGAAGGAUCAUUAUCGUAACUCCGAGGAGGGGCCUGGUCAAGCCCUGCUCCGGUCCAAACGGGCCGUGCAGCGGGCGGCCGACCCCGACUCGCCAAACCAAAAACCCACUUGUGCUCCUUUACGGUCGGAGGGCGACGAUGCCGGCGAAAGCCGCUCGUGCCCGAAGCCGCAUUCAUAACAAAACCACUUGUUCAAAAGAAUGCUCAGCGGGCCUUGUACCGCCUAAAACUGAAACAACUUUCAACAACGGAUCUCUUGGCUCUCGCAUCGAUGAAGAACGCAGC